RNAcentral lists this small RNA (86 nucleotides) under Salmonella enterica. RNAcentral describes it as "partial RtT sRNA". It matches the Rfam family "RtT RNA", at positions 1 to 82 of the family's 130-position model. From Rfam's summary of the family: This family represents a bacterial cis-regulatory element known as RtT RNA. The exact function of RtT is unknown although it is thought that it may be involved in changing the cellular response in relation to amino acid starvation. Lineage: Bacteria; Pseudomonadati; Pseudomonadota; Gammaproteobacteria; Enterobacterales; Enterobacteriaceae. RNAcentral also lists the same sequence under 5 other names. The record is from RNAcentral.
UGUAUCUGAAGUCUGACGAGGAUGAGAACCUCCGGGGGCAAGAGGUUCGACUCGAGCGAAGCGAGAGAACGUUGCGUCAGCAACGG